This 275-nucleotide ribosomal RNA is filed under the name uncultured bacterium. Its description in RNAcentral is "partial 16S ribosomal RNA". It matches the Rfam family "Bacterial small subunit ribosomal RNA", at positions 399 to 691 of the family's 1533-position model. The record is from RNAcentral.
GCGUGAGUGAUGAAGGCCUUAGGGUUGUAAAGCUCUUUUACCAGGGAUGAUAAUGACAGUACCUGGAGAAUAAGCCCCGGCUAACUCCGUGCCAGCAGCCGCGGUAAUACGGAGGGGGCUAGCGUUGUUCGGAAUUACUGGGCGUAAAGCGUACGUAGGCGGUGUCUCAAGUCAGAGGUGAAAGCCUGGAGCUCAACUCCAGAACUGCCUUUGAAACUAGGACGCUAGAAUUGCGGAGAGGUGAGUGGAAUUCCGAGUGUAGAGGUGAAAUUCGU